Molecule: ribosomal RNA, 639 nt
Filed under: Mesorhizobium sp.
Lineage: Bacteria; Pseudomonadati; Pseudomonadota; Alphaproteobacteria; Hyphomicrobiales; Phyllobacteriaceae
Description: bacterial SSU rRNA
Rfam family: Bacterial small subunit ribosomal RNA
Source: RNAcentral
GUCGAGCGCCCCGCAAGGGGAGCGGCAGACGGGUGAGUAACGCGUGGGAAUCUACCCAUCACUACGGAACAACUCCGGGAAACUGGAGCUAAUACCGUAUACGUCCUAUUGGAGAAAGAUUUAUCGGUGAUGGAUGAGCCCGCGUUGGAUUAGCUAGUUGGUGGGGUAAUGGCCUACCAAGGCGACGAUCCAUAGCUGGUCUGAGAGGAUGAUCAGCCACACUGGGACUGAGACACGGCCCAGACUCCUACGGGAGGCAGCAGUGGGGAAUAUUGGACAAUGGGCGCAAGCCUGAUCCAGCCAUGCCGCGUGAGUGAUGAAGGCCCUAGGGUUGUAAAGCUCUUUCAACGGUGAAGAUAAUGACGGUAACCGUAGAAGAAGCCCCGGCUAACUUCGUGCCAGCAGCCGCGGUAAUACGAAGGGGGCUAGCGUUGUUCGGAUUUACUGGGCGUAAAGCGCACGUAGGCGGACUAUUAAGUCAGGGGUGAAAUCCCGGGGCUCAACCCCGGAACUGCCUUUGAUACUGGUAGUCUCGAGUCCGGAAGAGGUGAGUGGAAUUCCGAGUGUAGAGGUGAAAUUCGUAGAUAUUCGGAGGAACACCAGUGGCGAAGGCGGCUCAUGGUCCGGUACUGACGCUGA